Podospora fimiseda is the source of this 79-nucleotide non-coding RNA. The record is from the annotation of a GenBank genome assembly. NCBI's taxonomy places the organism in Eukaryota, Fungi, Ascomycota, Sordariomycetes, Sordariales, Podosporaceae.
GCCCGCAUGGCUCAGUGGUAGAGCGUGUCACUAGUAAUAGUUAAUGACAAGGUCGUCAGUUCGAUUCUGGCUGUGGGCA